Molecule: long non-coding RNA, 3032 nt
Filed under: Homo sapiens (human)
Lineage: Eukaryota; Metazoa; Chordata; Mammalia; Primates; Hominidae
Description: HSALNT0121348
Source: RNAcentral
GAGAGGGAAAAAAGCAACAGGAGUCCAUCCCAUUCUCUUGAGACAACAGGUUCACUGAUCACAGAGAAAAUUUCUUUUCCCUCAGAGUUUAGGCACCUUCAGGUCUGUGCUGUCACCAAUAUCCUUACUGCUACUGCCAUGGAGCAGGGAUUCAAGAUAACCAAAGGAAGACAAAGGUAAAGAAAAAUAAGAAGUUUUCUCCACUCUCUCUGAGCACUCAAAGAUUGUUUUUUUCACAUCUUGAGCCAGAACUAGAAGACUUCCAUUGCUCUCUCUCUUUCUAUAUCAAUACCCACUUCUGGGAUUCAGGCUUCCUUGGACCCAGGCUGGCAGAUGGAGAGCAAAAAAUGAAAAUACAGAAUUAUCUACAAUAGCCAAGAAGUGGAAGCAACCCAAGUGUCCACCAAACGACAGAUGGAUAAAGAAAAUGAGGUAUAUACACACAAUGAAAUAUUAUUUGGCCUGCAAAAAGAAAGAACUCCUGCCAUUUGCAACAAUAUGGAUCAACCUGGAAGACAUAUUCACUUAUGUUAAGUGAAAUAAGCAGGCACAAGAAGACAAAUAUUGCACAAUUACACUAUAUGGGGAAAUCUAAAUAACUCAUAGAAGUAGAGAGUAGAAUAAUGACUACCAGAGGCUUGGGGAGAAAAAAAGGGAGAAAAAUGAGUUGUUGGUCAAAGCUUACAAAGUUUUAGUCAGACAGGAGAAAUAAAUUUUUAAAUCUAUUGCACAGCUGGGUGACUGUAGUCAAUAACAAUGUAUUAUUCAUCUCCAAAUAAGUAAGAUGGCAUAUUUCAAAAUAAACAAGAUGCUGAAUUUCAAACAUCUCAACACAAAGAGUUAAGUGAGAUGAUGAAUAUGUUAACUUCAUUUUAUCAUUCCACCUUGUACACAUAUUACAUGAAUGUAUACAGCUGUGAUUUGUCAAUUUUUUAAAAAUUUAAAAGAGAAAGAGUCAUGGAAUUAGAGUAAGAAAAACCAAAAGAAGAAGGAUAAAUCAAAGAGAGUGAAGAAAGAGGAAGAGAAAGAAGAGAAAACAGAGAAAGGGAGAAACAGAUUAAGGGAGAGAAAGUGAAUACAGCGAGGAAGAAAAUUUUACAUAUAUACAUACACUCAUAUACAUUAAUUUAUGCAUACUAGUUGGCUAUAUAUAUAUUUGUGCAUUCUUUUCUAUACGUAGAAGAUUGGAAGAUGAAGCUGAGAAAACAUCUCAGCAUGCACAAUUAAAAAAAAAAUGAAUGAAAAUAGAAGAAACUUAAGAUUAUGAGAGCAACCCAUGAAGUCCAACAUCUGAAAAAUGAGAGUUACAGAAGAAAAAAUGGACAAAAGAGACAUGGAGAUCAAAUUAUCAAAGCAAUUAUACAUUUUCCCAUAAUUGAAUGACAUGACUUUGCAGGUUAAAAGGCUCACCAACUGUCUGUUAUGAUAAUUAAAAUAUGACUCCACAACCAGUAAUGGAUUAAAUAUAUCCCUAAAUCUUCUAGUGAGAUAAAAGAGGUCAAAUACAAAGGAAAUAGGCUUUGAACUCCUUUACAGCAAGUUUGGAAAUAAGAAAACAAGGAAUGAAUGUUUGCAAAAUUUUAACAACUAAUCGUCUCCAACUUUGAAUUCUAUACACAGCCAUUGGACCAAACAAGGGGACAAAAUGGCAGCAGCCAGCCUGACCAUUCCCUUCCCAUCAUGAGGGAGAGGGCUGUGGUAUGGACAGCAGCAGCUGACUGGCCACAGGUGCAGCCACUGCCAUCCAGCCCCGACUCAUUCCUAGAAUAAGAACCACCAGACUGCCCUCUGACACCUGCCUCAGCGGUCCCCACCACUCCUCAAACCCUGUCACCGUCCACAGACAAGCCCUGGAGGGGUGGGGAAAAGGUGGGGCUCUGGGGCUUCUUUUUCAGAGAUGGGAGGUGCACAGGCUGGGGAGGAACCCCCAGAGUAUGCAAUCUUUUAGGACUGGCUUCUUUCACUUAGCAGUAUGCAUUUAAGAUUUUUUAUUGUUGUUGUUUGGGGUUUUGUUGUUGCUGUUGUUGUUCUUGUUGUUUCUUUUGGUUGUUGUUGUUGUUGUUUUGAGACAGGGUCUCACUCUAUCGCCCAGGCUGAAGUGCAGUGGUGCAAUUAGGCUCACUGCAACUUCUACCUCCCAAGUUUAAGCCAUUCUCGUGCCUCAACCUCCACAGGAGCUGGGAUUAUAGGUGCGCACCACCAUGCCUGGCUACAUUUAAGGUUUAUACAUAUAUAUAUUUUGUGUGUGUGUGUGUGUGUGUGUGGCUUGAUAGCUUACUUUUUAACUUCUGAAUAGUAUUUCAUUGUAUGGAUAUGCCAUAGUUUGUUUAUUCAUUCACCUGUUGAAGUUUUUGGUGAUUAUGAAUAAGGCUGCUAUAAACAUAAGCAUGCAGGGUUUUGUACAGACAAAAGUUUUUAACUCAAUUGUUUAAUUACCUAGGAGCGUAAUUGUGGGACUGGAUUGUAACAUUGUCUUUAGCAUUGUCAGAAACUGCUAAACUGUCUUCUGAGGUUUCAAUGUUAUUUUACAUUUCUAAUAGCAAUGAAUGAGAGUUCCUUUUGCUCUCCAUCUUUGCCAGUAGCUGGUAGUGCCAGUUUUUUGUUUUUAUUUUAGCCAUUCUAAUGGGUGUGUAGUGGUAUUUCAUUAUUGUUUAAUUUGCAAUUUUCUAAUGACGUAUAAUGUUGAGCAUCUUUUCACACGUUUGUCUGCCUCUAAAUGUCUUCUUUGGUAAGGUUUCUGUUCAGAUUUUUUGCCUAUUUCUUAAUUAGGUUGCUUAUUUUCUUUGUUGAGUUUCAAGAGUUGUUUAUAUGUUUUACAAACAAAUUAUUUAUCAGAUAAGGGUUUUGUAUAUAUUUCCUUCUACUUCAUGCCUUGUCUUUUGAUGGUCUUAACAUUGCCUCUCACAGAGCAAAACACUUAAAUUUUAAUAAAGACAACUAUUUUUUUCCCAUGGAUGGUGGUUUUGUGUUACAUUUAAAAACUCACCAAACCCAAGGUCUCCUCGAUUUUCUCCUAUGUUUUCUUCUAGAAG